UGGGGAAUUUUGCACAAUGGGCGCAAGCCUGAUGCAGCGACGCCGCGUGAGGGAUGAAGGCCUUCGGGUUGUAAACCUUUUUCGCUCAUGGUCAAGCCGCAGCUUUGGGUUGUGGUGAGGGUAGUGGGUAAAGAAGCGCCGGCUAACUACGUGCCAGCAGCCGCGGUAAUACGUAGGGCGCGAGCGUUGUCCGGAAUUAUUGGGCGUAAAGGGCUUGUAGGCGGUUGGCCGCGUCUGCCGUGAAAUCCUCUGGCUUAACUGGGGGCGUGCGGUGGGUAAGGGUGGACUUGAGUGCGGUAGGGGAGACUGGAAUUCCUGGUGUAGCGGUGGAAUGCGCAGAUAUCAGGAGGAACACCGGUGGCGAAGGCGGGUCUCUGGGCCGUUACUGACGCUGAGGAGCGAAAGCGUGGGGAGCGAACAGG
Molecule: ribosomal RNA, 422 nt
Filed under: bacterium
Lineage: Bacteria
Description: partial 16S ribosomal RNA
Rfam family: Bacterial small subunit ribosomal RNA
Source: RNAcentral